This 253-nucleotide ribosomal RNA is filed under the name uncultured bacterium. RNAcentral's name for it is "partial 16S ribosomal RNA". It matches the Rfam family "Bacterial small subunit ribosomal RNA", at positions 524 to 776 of the family's 1533-position model. The record is from RNAcentral.
UACGUAGGGGGCAAGCGUUGUCCGGAUUUACUGGGCGUAAAGAGCGUGUAGGCGGCCAGGUAGGUCCGACGUGAAAACUGGAGGCUCAACCUCCAGCUGUCGUUGGAAACCAUCUGGCUAGAGUCCGGAAGAGGAGAGUGGAAUUCCUGGUGUAGCGGUGAAAUGCGCAGAUAUCAGGAAGAACACCAAUGGCGAAGGCAGCUCUCUGGGACGGUACUGACGCUGAGACGCGAAAGCGUGGGGAGCGAACAGG